MicroRNA precursor from Ochotona princeps (American pika), 110 nucleotides. The record is from Ensembl. NCBI's taxonomy places the organism in Eukaryota, Metazoa, Chordata, Mammalia, Lagomorpha, Ochotonidae.
AGCCUCCUGUGGCCCCUUAGAGGAUGACUGAUUUCUUUUGGUGUUCAGAGUCAAUAGAAUUUUCUAGCACCAUCUGAAAUCGGUUAUAAUGAUUGGGGAAGAGCACCAUG